Molecule: unclassified non-coding RNA, 348 nt
Filed under: soil metagenome
Description: partial contains 5.8S ribosomal RNA, internal transcribed spacer 2, and large subunit ribosomal RNA
Rfam family: 5.8S ribosomal RNA (bases 2-120)
Source: RNAcentral
UAUGAAGAACGCAGCGAAAUGCGAUAAGUAAUGUGAAUUGCAGAAUUCAGUGAAUCAUCGAAUCUUUGAACGCACAUUGCGCCCGCCAGUAUUCUGGCGGGCAUGCCUGUCUGAGCGUCAUUUCAACCCUCAUGCCCCUAGGGCGUGGUGUUGGGGAUCGGCCAAAGCCCGCGAGGGACGGCCGGCCCCUAAAUCUAGUGGCGGACCCGUCGUGGCCUCCUCUGCGAAGUAGUGAUAUUCCGCAUCGGAGAGCGACGAGCCCCUGCCGUUAAACCCCCAACUUUCCAAGGUUGACCUCAGAUCAGGUAGGAAUACCCGCUGAACUUAAGCAUAUCAAUAAGCGGAGGA